This 522-nucleotide long non-coding RNA is filed under the name Anas platyrhynchos platyrhynchos (common mallard). RNAcentral's name for it is "lncRNA (ENSAPLG00000017745.1)". Lineage: Eukaryota; Metazoa; Chordata; Aves; Anseriformes; Anatidae. The record is from RNAcentral.
AACCGCCCCAGCCCCCUAAAGUCUCUUUUGAUUGCCUUCAGGCUUCUGUCUUCAAUGUCGUCACUGCCCGCCUGGACUAUCAGAAGAGGAUAAUAGUCAGAGGGGCGUACCAGGUUGGGAAGCUUCCUGGCAACGUCCCUGACCCUGGCCCCAGGGAGGCAACAGACUUCCCUACGGUAGAGCGUAAACCUUUGGAGGAACGUGUCACAGGAAAGAGCUCCUUCUGGAACUGUUCAGCACUCGGUGAAACACAGUGUACUAUACGGGACUUGACGACCAGAGCUGCUUUUGGCAAGGGGUGUUGUAGCUGGCCUAAGAGCAGAUGGAAGCAUCUGCCUCGAGGGGAGGUGAGGGCACGGAGGUGUCUCGCACAGGCUGAGUGGGGCCAAGCUGCACUCUGAAGAGCAGCACGAGAAGGGCGGGCUGGUUGUGAGCUGGAUUGGAGCAGAACUGCCGAGUAGCACGAGGUGAGUGCGAAGGGUAUCCAUCUUGCUUUGCAGGUGCCAUGGCAGGCUCUCCACA